This is a long non-coding RNA of Mustela erminea (ermine), 776 nucleotides long. RefSeq lists it as uncharacterized. The transcript has 4 exons. The record is from RefSeq and is a predicted model, not a curated record. Lineage: Eukaryota; Metazoa; Chordata; Mammalia; Carnivora; Mustelidae.
AGAAGGGAUGGGCAACUAUGAACAAAUGGAGUUGGUAAAAAUUUCCAUGACCCUACUGGCAAGAUUAUUUUGGUUUCAUUAAAAAAAAAGCAACAACAACCAAAAAAAAGCCAUCUCAAAGGAAGCAUUGUGAAGAGAAGGAAGGACAUACUAUGCUAACACUGUGCAGAAGCAGAAGAAUAUUUAAUGUUCAUAACACAUUGUGAAAAAGAUUUCAACAUGACUUACUGCACUAUUUCAGAUGUGAAUAAAAGCUGCAUCCAGAGACACCUCAAAUGUUGGCCAGUGUCUCAUUGAAAGCACCUUAGUGAUGCUGGGCACCUUGAAAAGAUCCCUGUGCUUCAACUUGAGGCACCAGCCUGGAAGCAGCAUCCAGAGUGUUGAGCUUACUCCGUUUCCAAGGUGGCCGGCGUAUGUGAGCAAAGCCUGGUCACCAGCAACAGGAGGAUCCAGAAAGGUCGAUUUCUAAUGUUCUCAUCAUCAGGAUUUGGAAUAAAACAUGAAAUGAAUUCGUCCUUGAUACAGAAUCAAAACUUUUUAAGAAUAUCUAAUUUACCACCCUUAAAAGAAAGUUGGCCAGCAAUGUUUACCCACUCCCUGCUAUGAAUCCCCCCAUCUCUCUCUCUCUCUCUCUCUCUCUCUCUCUCUCUCUCUCUCUCACACACACACACACACACACACACAUCUUGGCAGCAGCUGUAGCCAGACAGUAUCUUCAUCCUGGAUGCCUUCUUGAUUCCCAACACACAGCUGCUAAGUUGACCCUCACUCACCCU